AAAUGACCUGGAAUCUAUAGUAUCUUACAAAAAUAUUUUAAAAGUGAAUGAAUUGCAUGUCACAUUAUCUCCUAAGGUGUGGCUGUUACCCACCACUGGCCUCUGGCAGCUUCUGCAGCAGAACGGGACUUAGGAGAACAGGAUUCCAGGAGGGCUUUCACUUGGACCUUGUCUCGCUCUCUUGCUCCUGAGCGCGGAACGCCUUCAGAAACUGGGGGAUUCUUCUAUCACAUGGCUUCCAUGCUGGCUCAGACUAUAAAGAACACACCUGCAAUGUGGGAGACCUGUUUCAGUUCCUGGAUUGGGAAGGUCCCUGGAUAAGGGAAUGGAUAUACGCUCCAGUAUUCUGGCCAGGAGAAUUUCAUGGACUGUGCAGUCCAUGGUGUUGCAAAGAGUAGGACACGGCUGAGCAACUUUCACUUCACUUCCAUCACAUGCCACUGUACCCUUAUUAAUUACUAAUUUCAUUAGUAUCUGGUUUAUUGUUUUUGCAAUGAAGAUAGGUAGACAUAAAACCUCUCACACAAAAUCUGGAAUGUUUUCCAAGUUCCCAAUAUUUUGUAGUUAUUUUCACAACAUAGCUUUCUGUAUAAGCAUUUUCAUAAUAUUAGAAGUGUAUUUCUAAAGUAAAUUUUCUGAAUUAGAAUUGCUGUGUGAACUGCAAAACAUAAGGCUUUUAGAUGCACUGAAGUCAUCUCUCUAGAGACUGGGUGUUUUUUGUCUCCUUCCAGGAACCCAUGUGAGUGCCGUUUCCCAAUAGCUUCAUUAAGAAUAUACACAGCUUUCAUGUUGACAAUUUAAUGCAUUAGGAAACUUUCUUGCUGCACGUUUUUUAUGGAAAUUUUCUAAUCAGAUUUUUUAUAGAAAAGUUCAUGGUAAAUUCUGUAAGUAAUAAUGCUGUAUAGCAUGGAAAAAUCUGCAUUUAAAAAAUACAAAAACUCAGUGAAAUAAUAGCAAAAAAAUCCCUAAGGAGGCAUGCUCUUAAAUCUAGUAGGAGUAAUGUUGCAAAAUAAAUAACAGGAAAUAUAAAUAUUGAACUUUGGG
Bos indicus x Bos taurus (hybrid cattle) is the source of this 1044-nucleotide long non-coding RNA. The record is from Ensembl. NCBI's taxonomy places the organism in Eukaryota, Metazoa, Chordata, Mammalia, Artiodactyla, Bovidae.